Non-coding RNA from Theobroma cacao (cacao), 774 nucleotides. Lineage: Eukaryota; Viridiplantae; Streptophyta; Magnoliopsida; Malvales; Malvaceae. The record is from RefSeq and is a predicted model, not a curated record.
GUUUACCAUUGUGAAGGAGAACAGGAACUUUCUUAUGGACAGGUCUGUGGGUACGAAGAAGAGGACUCUUGUUUCGUAAAUCUUCUUCAAGAAACUAAACCCAAGUCUGUAUUGACUGGAAUGAAGAAACUAAAGCUGUGAAUCCCAGCCCUGCAUGAUGACCGCUUGCAAAUCGAUGAGUUUGGAACAAAACUGCCUUUCUUGCUGCACAGCCAACGUGCCACGAGCAGCUCCUGGAGAAGCCGAAUGGGGUCUUUGGACUGUAUAAAUAUCACACCCAGAAAUGGAUGCAAUUGAGCUGAUCAGAAUGCUUUGAAUUGCUGAUGCUCCACCAGUAGCAAAUGAUUCGUUGUGGAGGAGAAGGCAUUCCAAAUCUUUCUGCAUCGACAGAAAUUGGCCCUCAAUCAAGAAGGAGCCUCCAAUUCUAGCACUCCUUGUUCGUUCAAGCUGUUAGACAUUACUCUCAUGAUGGUGAUUUGAAUAAAUGUUUGAAGGAUGAAGAAACACAGACCAAAUAAAGAAAAGUGAGUAUAUCAGCUUGCAGGAAUGAAAGGAGAAGAGGAACCAAAACUCACCGUUUAAAUAAAAAGCAGAUGACCAAUGCGCAGCGUUUUGAUUUGUUUUUAAAUUUCAGUUAGUAGCUAAUCAUUAGUUAGUUAGCAAUGUUUUUAGCUUUAUUUUUCUUUGCUGAUCGCAUACCUGUACAUAUAAAUAGCACUAUGUAAUACCCUGAUUUCAAUGAAUGAGAUAAUACCAAGGCACAUUCUCAUCCUC